This 484-nucleotide ribosomal RNA is filed under the name uncultured bacterium. RNAcentral describes it as "partial 16S ribosomal RNA". It matches the Rfam family "Bacterial small subunit ribosomal RNA", at positions 28 to 523 of the family's 1533-position model. The record is from RNAcentral.
GACGAACGCUGGCGGCGUGCUUAACACAUGCAAGUCGAACGAUGAACCCGGAGCUUGCUCCGGUGGAUUAGUGGCGAACGGGUGAGUAACACGUGAGUAACCUGCCCUUGACUCUGGGAUAACUGCGGGAAACUGUAGCUAAUACCGGAUACGACCCUCGGCGGCAUCGCCAGGGGGUGGAAAGAAUUUCGGUCAAGGAUGGACUCGCGGCCUAUCAGCUAGUUGGUGAGGUAACGGCUCACCAAGGCGACGACGGGUAGCCGGCCUGGGAGGGUGACCGACCACACUGGGACUAAGACACGGACCAGACGCCGCCGGGAGGCAGCAGUGGGGAAUAUUGAACAAUGGGCGCAAGCCUGAUGCAGCAACGCCGCGUGAGGGAUGACGGCCUUCGGGUUGUAAACCUCUUUCAGCACCGACGAAGCGCAAGUGACGGUAGGUGCAGAAGAAGGACCGGCCAACUACGUGCCAGCCGCCGCAGUAA